Molecule: long non-coding RNA, 429 nt
Filed under: Mytilus galloprovincialis (Mediterranean mussel)
Lineage: Eukaryota; Metazoa; Mollusca; Bivalvia; Mytilida; Mytilidae
Source: RNAcentral
GGGGUGUUUAACGACCUCGAUGAUUAUCCAUGAGGGUCUCGCACUCGGUCAGCUCUAGGUUUUCACCUAGUUCAUGAUCAUACAAGAAUUGAGAAGCCUGUGUUUUACUAUUCUUAUAAUAUGAGACUUUGGAGUUCAUAUAAUUUACAUUCAACGUUUUUUAUCGAAUAUUUCAGGGCUUUUUGACCAUCAAUGUUGAACCCCCCCUUCAAAUUGAUUGGAUAAAAUGAAUGGAUUGCCGCCCCUAUUUCAAACUUAAGUCUUAUAAACUGACUGGUAUUCGAAUUUGUUAAAAGAAAUAAUUGGUAUCUCUAUUGAUUCAAUACCGUAAUGCCGAAAAACAAUCAUUUGUUUCCGCAAAUUCCGAACAGCUAGAAAUAUAUUCCCGAGUUUCAAUUUGAGUGACUCGAAUAAUUCAAGCCCUUUCCA